This 2610-nucleotide ribosomal RNA is filed under the name uncultured eukaryote. RNAcentral's name for it is "partial 18S ribosomal RNA". It matches the Rfam family "Eukaryotic small subunit ribosomal RNA". The record is from RNAcentral.
ACCUGGUUGAUCCUGCCAGUAAUAUAUGCUUGCGUCAAAGAUUAAGCCAUGCAUGCCUAAGUACAGACUGUAAAAGGUAAAACUGCGGACGGCUCCAUAGAUCAGUAAUUGUUCGUUUGGCGAUUUGAAAGUACUUGGAUAACCCUGUUAAUUGUAGAGCUAAUACAUGCACCGACGACCCGAUUGGUUCGCCGAGAGGGUCGCACUUGUCCAACUUUAUAAGCCCAGGGACGGGCGGGAGUGCGGAGGCCGGGGAGGGCCCAGGUGGGCCGGGCAGAGACAACUGGGGGCAUAAAACUGGGGAGGAAGCGCAAAGCCAACACGGCGAAGACCCUGGUGGAAGCCUCUGGGUUCAAGGCGGGGACGUCUUUCGGGGCGUUCUGCGGCCGAAGAGCAAUUCUGCUUCAGGUUGAUCUGGGUACCCGUCGAUCUGGUUUCUCCUUCUGUUCGUUCCUGGGGAUUGGGUGAAACAGGACAAUUCAAAGCUGAUCGGCCUCUUCAGAGGACGACACGCCAUUCGAAUUUCUGACCUAUCAACUAGAUGGUAGGAUAGAGGCCUACCAUGGUUAUAACGGGUAACGGGGAAUCAGGGCUCGAUUCCGGAGAGGGAGCCUGAGAAACGGCUACCACUUCCAAGGAAGGCAGCAGGCGCGUAAAUUACUCCCUGCCGACACGGCGAGGUAGUGACGACGAAUACCAAGGCCAGCCGCCACACGGUGGCUGGCCAUUGGAAUGAGCAGAAUUUAAAUCCCUCUGCAAGUAACAAUUGGAGGGCAAGUCUGGUGCCAGCAGCCGCGGUAAUUCCAGCUCCAAGAGUGUAUAUUAAAGCUGUUGCGGUUAAAACGCUCGUAGUUGAACUCCUACAUCCGGUCAACAGCCUUUGGAAAGAGGGGGUCGGGAGGGGCUUUGCCUCUUUCGGCCCUACUCGCCGAAGGCUCCGGAGAAGGACAAACCCAUGACUAUCGCCGUUCUCUCUCUCGGACCAUUAAUUUGGCCUGAGAACACACCACCCCGACCGACAAGGAAAGGGGAGGGAACGGUUCUUACGUUUACCUUGAACAAACUAGAGUGAUUCAGGCAGGCGCUUUGCGCCCUUGAAUACGAUUAGCAUGGGAUAAACACAAUCAAAAACACACUGGGUCCGGCCGAGACUGGGCCCGCGUUGGGCAGGGAAGGGAGGUCGUCGAUCUUUCAUUCGGCUCGUCUGUGCAAUAAAUGACUUCGUGGUCCCAAGGGUUCCGUUUGGUUUCCCCGGGAGAGCUCAGAUCUGUCUGUCGAGGCCGGAAGGGGGGCACUGGGUCUUCGGAUCCGGGGUCCACCAGCCGGUCCGGCGGGCAGGAGGGCUUGCCGGCAACGGCAUGCGGAGUCAUGUGCAGGCGAGACGGGUGGAUCCGGCGGCCGACAAAGACUCUUCUCUGUUUGAUCGGGUCAAAGACGGUCGACACGGCUCAGUCGUCCAGGGGGGCAACUCUCUGGGCGUUCCAUACACAAUAGGGACAGCCGGGGUCGUUAAUACUUCCAUGCUAGGGGUGAAAUCCUAUGAUUAUGGAAAGAUUAACUAGUGCGAAAGCAUUCGACAAGGAUGUUUUCAUUAAUCAAGAACGAAAGUUGGGGGAUCGAAGACGAUCAGAUACCGUCGUAGUCUCAACCAUAAACUAUGCCGACCAGAGAUCGGGAGACGCUUUCCGAAGAGGAAGCGAGGCUCCCCCGGCACCUUUGAGAGAAAUCAUUGAGUGUCUGGGCUUCGGGGGGAGUAUGGUCGCAAGGCUGAAACUUAAAGGAAUUGACGGAAGGGCACACCAGAAGUGGAGCCUGCGGCUUAAUUUGACUCAACACGGGGAAACUUACCAGGUCCAGACAGUGGAAGGAUUGACAGAUUGAGAGCUCUUUCUAGAUUCGCUGGGUGGUGGUGCAUGGCCGUUCUUAGUUCGUGGUGUAAAUUGUCUGUGUCAAUUCCGCUAACGAACGAGACCUUAACCUGCUAACUAAUGUUGGGCGGAGGCUUUGGCGAGGGGAGGCGUUGGGGGCAACCCCGGCGAUGAACCUUGUCAAACUCUAGCUAAAAUCCAUUCCCCCGACGGGAGGUCGCAAGGCCUUUCGCAGGAGUGGAACCAACUUCUUAGAGGGACUGUUUGCUCCUAGCGAAUGGAAGUUUGAGGCAAUAACAGGUCUGUGAUGCCCUUCGAUGUCCUGGGCCGCACGCGCGCUACACUGACUGGGGGAACGAGUUUGCGUGCACCCUUUUGGGGCUGGCAGCAAUGUCAGUCUCAGGAGGGAGAAUGCACCAACCCUGGGUUGAAAGGCAUCCCGGGAAAACUUUUGAAACCCAGUCGUGCUGGGGAUAGACCUUUGCAACUAUUGGUCUUAAACGAGGAAUUCCUCGUAAGCGCGGGUCAUCAGCUCGCGUUGAUUACGUCCCUGCCCUUUGUACACACCGCCCGUCGCUCCUACCGAUUGGAUGAUCCGGUGAAGAUGAAGGAUGUGCUUGGCAUCCAUUUCUUGGGGGCUUGCUCUCAAGGAUAAUGCCAUCCAGAAUUCAUCUAAACCUUAUUAUCUAGAGGAAGGAGAAGUCGUAACAAGGUUUCCGUAGGUGAACCUGCRGAAGGAUCA